UGAGAUCAAAUAAGAUAAUGAGGGAGAAAAAGAUCUGAAAAGUUAAAAGCACUGCUUGAGUGCAAAGCAUUAUUUUUUUCUCCUCUCACCAUGAUAUUGUGCGUCUAAACAAAAUACUUACAAAGAGAAUACAGGAGAAAAGAAGACUUCUCAUCCUGCUGUGUUCAAAACACAGCUCUAUUUAAUUGAGUAGGAGGCACCAGAGCUAAUGCUCUGGAUUUUACCUUGAAGUGAAGACUUGAAUCAAAAGGUUCUGACAAACAGGCUGCUUUACAAUCAAGUAUCUAUCCCUCUCGGAACCUUGUCUGCUCUGGUCUUGGAUAUCAUAACUACUGGUUUAUUUUUCUUGUCAGAGUUCAAGAGAGCACAAGAAAAAUGUAUAAUUAUUGUUUCUACCAACUUUAUCUCUGCUUGCCAAAAAAAAAAAAAGAAAUUCAGGGACUCCUUUUAGACAUUAGACCUAUUUAGCUCUCCCUUGACAUUGUCAUUAUUAUAUGUCUUCUGGCUUCCUUCUCAGUGUGUAAGGAGGUGAGAGUGGAUAGAGUUGGGAGAAAGAAAUGUGAUGGUAUUAAUUUUUUAAACUCUCCAAAUAGUUGCCAUACUUGUCACUUUAGGCUUUUCAAUUUCAUUAGUGCUGACAGAGAUGAAUGACAUAUCCUAAUUGUGGAUUUGCACCUGCAAUCCAGAAGUGGUUGCUGCUUUUCCAGUCUUUCUCAAGGUUUCUUUCUUGAGGUCUGAUUCUCAGAAGCAGCAAAAUUCCGCCUCAAUCCCACAGCUAAUAGAGGAAUCUGGGGAAUUUAGUAAGUUUACAAAGCUCCUGAAUCCAUAUUUCAGAGGCAAUCUAUUAUUCCAAAAAACUAGCUCUCCAACCUAGUAAACUUGAUACGUGGAGGGAAGAAAAGAGAAAGGAAAGAGCAUAUAUUUGAGAUUCUCCCAGUGUGUACAGGGGUUCUUCAAACCUUUCUCUGCUAAUGGUACUUUGCUUACCUCCUUACCACUAAGGCGGCUUAAUCACUCCUUCCAAAAGAGAUAGAAAUAAGUGCUUACUUGAUCUAGUCCGUCUGUGGUAUGAAGAUAAAAAAUUUAGAUCUAGAAGGGAUCUGAAAGGUCAUUGGAUCCAUACUCCUGCACUCAUUUUGUGGAAGACUCAAAUGGUAGCAUAGUAUAACAGAGAUAUAUCUAUGAAGUGGAAAUUAGAUAAAAUUCACUUUCCUUGGUAUGGUCUACACCGACAACUCUUGGCAUUGCUUAGCUGAAAUACA
This 1262-nucleotide long non-coding RNA is filed under the name Monodelphis domestica (gray short-tailed opossum). Its description in RNAcentral is "lncRNA (ENSMODG00000048731.1)". The record is from RNAcentral. Lineage: Eukaryota; Metazoa; Chordata; Mammalia; Didelphimorphia; Didelphidae.